This 86-nucleotide transfer RNA is filed under the name Thermanaerothrix daxensis. It matches the Rfam family "tRNA". Rfam says of the family: Transfer RNA (tRNA) molecules are approximately 80 nucleotides in length. RNAcentral also lists the same sequence under 5 other names. The record is from Rfam by way of RNAcentral. Lineage: Bacteria; Bacillati; Chloroflexota; Anaerolineae; Anaerolineales; Anaerolineaceae.
GGGGCGGUGGCGGAACAGGCAGACGCAGUGGACUUAAAAUCCACCGGUGCGGGAGCACCUUGAGGGUUCGAGUCCCUCCCGCCCUA